RNAcentral lists this ribosomal RNA (276 nucleotides) under uncultured bacterium. RNAcentral describes it as "partial 16S ribosomal RNA". It matches the Rfam family "Bacterial small subunit ribosomal RNA", at positions 29 to 329 of the family's 1533-position model. The record is from RNAcentral.
AGCGAACGCUGGCGGCAGGCUUAACACAUGCAAGUCGAACGGGCAUAGGCAAUAUGUCAGUGGCAGACGGGUGAGUAACGCGUGGGAACAUACCUCUUGGUUCGGAACAACACAGGGAAACUUGUGCUAAUACCGGAUAAGCCCUUACGGGAAAGAUUUAUCGCCGAGAGAUUGGCCCGCGUCUGAUUAGCUAGUUGGUGUGGUAAAAGACGCACCAAGGCGACGAUCAGUAGCUGGUCUGAGAGGAUGAUCAGCCACAUUGGGACUGAGACACGG